GUCAACGGCCAUGCCACCCUGAACAAGCCCGAUCCCUCCUAAUCUCAGAAGCUAAGCAGGGUCGGGCCUAGUUAUUACUUGGAUGGGAGACCACCUAGGAAGACCAGGUGCUGUAGGCA
RNAcentral lists this ribosomal RNA (119 nucleotides) under Pteropus alecto (black flying fox). Lineage: Eukaryota; Metazoa; Chordata; Mammalia; Chiroptera; Pteropodidae. The record is from RNAcentral.